UACGUAGGCAGCAAGCGUUGUUCGGAGUUACUGGGCGUAAAGAGUGCGUAGGCGGUCUUCUAAGUCUGGUGUGAAAUCUCCUGGCUCAACUGGGAGGGUGCGCCGGAAACUGGAGGGCUUGAGUGUGGGAGAGGGAAGCGGAAUUCCUGGUGUAGCGGUGAAAUGCGUAGAUAUCAGGAGGAACACCUGCGGUGUAGACGGCUUUCUGGACCACGACUGACGCUGAGGCACGAAAGCGUGGGGAGCAAACAGGAUUAGAAACCCCAGUAGUCC
Molecule: ribosomal RNA, 273 nt
Filed under: uncultured bacterium
Lineage: Bacteria
Description: partial 16S ribosomal RNA
Rfam family: Bacterial small subunit ribosomal RNA
Source: RNAcentral